GGGCUUAUAGCUCAGGUGGUUAGAGCGUACCCCUGAUAAGGGUAAGGUCAGAGGUUCGAGUCCUCUUAAGCCCACCA
RNAcentral lists this transfer RNA (77 nucleotides) under Sulfurospirillum cavolei. Its description in RNAcentral is "tRNA-Ile". It matches the Rfam family "tRNA". Rfam says of the family: Transfer RNA (tRNA) molecules are approximately 80 nucleotides in length. Their secondary structure includes four short double-helical elements and three loops (D, anti-codon, and T loops). RNAcentral also lists the same sequence under 8 other names. Lineage: Bacteria; Pseudomonadati; Campylobacterota; Epsilonproteobacteria; Campylobacterales; Sulfurospirillaceae. The record is from RNAcentral.